RNAcentral lists this ribosomal RNA (253 nucleotides) under uncultured bacterium. RNAcentral describes it as "partial 16S ribosomal RNA". It matches the Rfam family "Bacterial small subunit ribosomal RNA", at positions 524 to 776 of the family's 1533-position model. The record is from RNAcentral.
UACGAAGGGGGCUAGCGUUGCUCGGAAUCACUGGGCGUAAAGCGCACGUAGGCGGCUUUUUAAGUCAGGGGUGAAAUCCUGGAGCUCAACUCCAGAACUGCCUUUGAUACUGAGAAGCUUGAGUCCGGGAGAGGUGAGUGGAACUGCGAGUGUAGAGGUGAAAUUCGUAGAUAUUCGCAAGAACACCAGUGGCGAAGGCGGCUACCUGGACCGGUUCUGACGCUGAGGCGCGAAAGCGUGGGGAGCAAACAGG